UGUACUUAAAGAACAAUAUGGCGGCUGUGGCAAAGUUUUCGCCGCCCGUAUGAGAAAUUCGCAUUCAUUCAAGAUUGAAUAGUUCACGAUAAACGCUAAGCGUAAUAAGCCUAUUUAGAUUACGUAGUUAACAUCGCGAGUGAAAAUUCGUUCGUGUCGUAACACGUCGAAACAGCCCGAUGCAGGUCGCGCGUAAUUCUCGUAGCUUAAAUCAUGACUUCGAUGCUGUCCAGCUUUAACCCGCCUAUCGUUAAACGAUUGUUGGGUUGGAAAAAAGCAGAAGGAGAAGACAAAUGGAGUGAAAAAGCUGUUAAAAGUCUUGUAAAGAAGUUAAAAAAGUCCACCGGCCUCGACGAGCUCGAGAAGGCUAUUACUACGCAAAGUUGCAACACUAAGUGCAUUACUAUACCGAGGCCUAGCCCAGGCGGUGUCGGAGACAACGGUGUCCAAGGAGUGCGCGGCAAAGGUUUGCCGCACGUGAUCUAUUGCCGACUUUGGCGUUGGCCAGAUUUGCAAUCGCACCACGAACUAAGAGCAAUCGAGCAUUGCGAGUACGCGUUUACGCAGAAACGAGACGAAGUCUGCAUUAACCCGUACCAUUAUCAACGAAUACAAACACCAGUUUUGCCAGCUAUUCUCGUACCUCGGCAUAAUUUAGCCGGGGACGAGUCCGUCCUUUAUAACACUUCCAUCGAGGAGCUCAGUGUCAGUGUGCCAGAAAACACGAGUUUCCACGCGACUUUAAAUCACCAGCACCAUAAUCAACAAAGUAUACCACAAUCACCGCAACAGCAACAACAGCAACAACAACAACAGCCACCGAACAAUCCAUAUCAAGGAAUGCAGAGUAUGCAGGCGACAAGUCCGGCUAGUGUUGGUAGUCUAGGAAGUGUUCAGGGUUCACCACAUCCGGCACCUGGAUCUAUGGAUCCACCUGCUGAUACUCCUCCUCCGGGAUAUAUAAGUGAAGAUGGUGAUAACAUGGAUCACAACGAUAAUAUGUCCUUAUCGCGUUUGUCUCCCAGUCCUGUAGAUGCACAACCAGUGAUGUACUGUGAACCAGCAUUUUGGUGUUCAAUAAGUUACUAUGAACUAAAUACGAGAGUAGGCGAGACUUUUCAUGCAUCGCAGCCGAGCAUAACGGUGGACGGAUUCACUGAUCCCAGUAAUUCUGAACGUUUCUGUUUGGGUUUACUAUCGAACGUAAACCGAAAUACCGUGGUCGAGCAGACGAGACGACAUAUCGGGAAAGGAGCUAGAUUAUAUUAUAUCGGUGGUGAAGUAUUUGCCGAAUGUUUAUCCGAUUCGAGCAUUUUUGUGCAAAGUCCUAAUUGUAAUCAACGUUACGGUUGGCAUCCAGCCACCGUUUGUAAAAUACCACCCGGUUGCAAUUUGAAGAUAUUCAACAAUCAAGAAUUUGCGGCACUGUUAUCGCAAUCAGUUUCACAAGGAUUCGAAGCUGUGUAUCAAUUGACUCGAAUGUGUACGAUCAGAAUGAGUUUUGUAAAAGGUUGGGGAGCGGCAUACCGUCGGCAAACCGUCACGUCGACUCCUUGUUGGAUCGAGUUGCAUUUAAAUGGUCCAUUACAGUGGCUCGAUAGAGUACUCACGCAGAUGGGAUCGCCGCGUUUACCCUGUUCCUCGAUGUCAUAAGGUUGUAUCGCUUUUCUCAUUGAUGGAAAACAGGGACGAUUUGCGUGCUGUCAUUGUCGUCAUCGUCGUUGUGUCAAUUGGUUUUUUCUUACCGCGGAUUCAUUGUUUUAUCUGAAUAUUUUCCAACCACCGACCACAGUGAUGAACAGUGCAAGAAAAAAAAAAAAGAAAAAAAGAAAUACGAUUACUGUUGUUUUCACGAAGCGUGUAUAUGUGUAUAUCCUACCUUGAAAAGUGUACGGGAUACGAAAUCGAGUUUUCGCGUUCAAAGUGCCAGGAAAGCAUUCGAUCGGACGAAUGGAUAUAUAAAACUGGCGAUUGAUUAGCUUGUAGGAAUGUUCAAGUGCUCAAAUCGCGACGGUUCAUCGAUGUUUCCUACGAAGAUAAGGAAAGGACGAUGUGUGGGCAAAAGAGUGCAGACAAGACCGGUUCAAAAUAACAUUCACACAGACUUACCUUUUUUUACAUCGUGUAAGAUCAAGAGACAUGACAGUGACAACGAUGAUUCGUGAACUUACCAAUUACAAAUUUUUGACGAAACGAAUAAUGUUCCAACUGUAUGUUGCACUCCAAUUCUAGAAGAAUAUCGAAGAGAGGACAAGCUUGGGCAGUAGCUAUGGAAAAAAUAGUCUAAAAGACGCAAGAUUUCAAAUCAUAUUAUAUUGAUUCUUAGAUAGUGUUUUUUAUUACAUAGCCUAAUGGCACGAAUAUGUUCGUCUUUUACGAGGAUAUUUUUUUUUUUAUUUUUAAUCAGCAAUCACUUAUCUAAUGCUUAAUUCAUGAGGAAAGAAUGAUAAUAUCGAUCAGAAAAAAAUUAUUUAAAAUUAAUUUUUAAAAUUUUAAAAUACGAAGAACCGAGUAUUAAAUACUCAAAAUUCACUUCGUGAAAGUCGAACACAAUAUCGUCGGGCAGCUCGAGUAAUCGAAUAGUAGUAAGAAAGAGGUGGAAAAGAAAAUAGGUGUUAAUUACCGAGAUAUAAUAAGAUUCAUACCUCUCAGAAUUCAUAGUAAUUGGUACUGUCUCGCAUAAGAAAAAAUAAAAAUUUCUAAUCAUUGAUAUGAUAUUCAACAACCACUUGCCUCUCUGCCAGACUGCCAUUAGCGUAUUAAUUAAGGAAAUGUAACUAGGGGAAUCGAAGAACUCGUCCUCAUUUUUUCUUCGUUGUCCUCGGAUUCCUACUCGUUCAUUUUAUGUUAGCAAUAAGAUCAAAAUAUGUCUAUAAGGUGAAAGAAGAGACAGACCAUUAAGAAACGCGUUUUUAAUUCGCCAAAGUAUAUUAAGUGUAGCAAUUGCCAAAGUUUUUUCUGUAAAUACAAGAAUGUCGAGUCGAUUAGUUUACAGUAGUUGUGAUUCAAUCGUGCACGAAUUAUUAAAUUAUCAACGCUGUCGUGCUUUCUUUCUUGGAAAAUUCAUAAUUGUUAUUAUUGUUAUAAUCGUACUAUAUUGUUAUGUUUUUUCAUUUUGUAUGUUUAAUGUCUUGACCUGCCGAAAAAUCGAGCGGUCCGACGAUUAUGUAUUUUUAAUUCUAUAGCUACUUAUAUAUUUUGUGUGCUAAUAGCUGCAUGCACACAAAGGGAAGGAUCGACUAAACAAUAAUUUCUACGAAACAAAUAUUUUUUUACGUAUUAAAACGGCGUGAAAUUCUUUUACGUACGAUAUAUAUGUAUUUGACGACGAUUAAAAUCGGUCGAUGUUUCCCUGGUGUGGAUGAGAUUUUUGAGAAUACGAGUUAAAAGUAAAAAAGUUGGAAGAACGAACGUAGGAACGUAUGAAUGAGAUUGCGUCAAGAAAUAUAGAGUGUGAGACUGUAAAAUAAUUAUAAAUAAAUAUAUACGUUAUAAGUCUAAUAAACAUGAUUUUGUCGCUUUUUAUUAUUUCAUAAUUAUGGAAAAACUAUUCCUGACAAUGCUAAACAAAUUUAAUGUAUCCACAAAUAUGUGUUUCAAUAAUUUCAUUCAAUAUCUUUACAUGUCUACAAAUAUCACAAAUUUUACUAUAUAAUUAUAGGAACAUAAUAUUAAUGGGAUUAGGAGAUAAAAAAAAAAAUAAAUUUUCUAAUAAAGACUCAACUUUGUGUAGCAAAAAUUUUGUAUCAUUUGACUACGAUAUAAUGAAUACAAUCUAUACACGUGCACAAUGUUGCGCUUAUAUAACUUGAUUAUUAGUAUUAUGGUGACUUAAUAACAGCAACAAUUGCAGUAAGAUUCUUUUGACAAAAAAUUGGUUUUCCAUUUCAGAAAAUAACAUUUUUAAAUCGAAUUCUUAUAAAUUAUCGUCCAAAAAUAUAUAUAUAUAUAUAUAUAUAUGUGUGUAUAUAUAUAUUUUUUUGUGAAAUAUGCGAAAUACAAGAACAUUGAUCAUGUAAAUAAAAAGCUUCAAAAUAUAAAACAAUUGCCGAUUUAUCGCUUAAGCGAAAUUAUAUUAUUGCACGCUUAAUACAAUUUUUUUCUAUUUUCUAGUACUUUAACUCUUUUUUUAAAGCUUUGAAGUACGUAUUAAAAUGCGAAAUCGCAUAUGAGUUUACUAUAAUUAAUACGCUACAUUAGGAAAUGUUCAAUAUUUUGGAGGCGAUAAUAGAUCGAUUAUAAAAGAUUAGUUCAAUAA
Molecule: RNA transcript, 4258 nt
Organism: Apis mellifera (honey bee)
Lineage: Eukaryota; Metazoa; Arthropoda; Insecta; Hymenoptera; Apidae
Gene: Smox
Gene name: mothers against decapentaplegic homolog 3
Exons: 7
Source: RefSeq, a predicted model, not a curated record